CAUCAUACAGAUUUGAAGAAAGUGAUUUUUUUAAGAAAUUGUAACUUUAUGCGCUGUAGUUUAAUACUUAAGUUAUUGAUGAUCAAAUCAAAAUCUUGUUAAGCCAACCCCGAGUUGUGCACGUUGUAUUUUUUUGCAGUUUAAUACACACUGGCGUAAUUAUGUAAGGAUGUGGUUGUCAUAUCACCUAUAAAAAAAUUAAUGUUAACCGACUCAACAAACGACGACUUUGAUGAACACUGAAAUGUUUUAAUGAAACGGACGGAUCAAAAACUAAAAAUUUGAUUACUACGAAAAUAAAUUAACGAAAUCAGUCAAACAGCAUGAUUGUAAAAACACCAUUUGAUUUUAAUGGAAGCUGAAGGAACUGAAAAAUAUUUCAAAUACAUUUACAGAACUCUUCCGGAUAGAUUAUUAAUACAAUUACAUUCAGGCAACACUAACUCGACCAAAACGUAUUCAAAGAAAAAAAUACUCUCCAAUUUUCCAUAUGAUACCUUCAAGGGUUGCUAUAUUGUGGUAAGAUCGCUACUCGCUCUGAUAAUAUUUUCAAAACUUUUUCCCGUUCCGCUCUGUCGCCACCCCAAAAAAAACUAAACUACGACCCAAUUAACGUCACUAGCACGACAUUUUUGUUUUCCACUAUAAUAAUGAAAAUGUCUUCUUUUUAUAAUUGGACAUAUAUAAAGUUCAUGCAAUUAAAGCGACAUGGUAACCACGUUGUUCCAUUUUAUGCCUCGUCGCAAUAACCUAUUAAAGUUUUAUUAUUUACUUGGUAAAAAAAAAUGGAAAAAAAUCUUUAUAUUUACUGUCUGUUUUUGGUACAUCUUAACAAUACAUAUCUAAAAACAUUGCUAUUCAUAUAAAU
Daktulosphaira vitifoliae (grape phylloxera) is the source of this 868-nucleotide long non-coding RNA. RefSeq lists it as uncharacterized. NCBI's taxonomy places the organism in Eukaryota, Metazoa, Arthropoda, Insecta, Hemiptera, Phylloxeridae. The transcript has 5 exons. The record is from RefSeq and is a predicted model, not a curated record.